CGCAUCUGUGCAUGCAGCAUAUCAAUAAGCGGAGGAAAAGAAACUAACAAGGAUUCCCCUAGUAACGGCGAGUGAAGCGGGAAGAGCUCAAAUUUGAAAUCUUAAAGGGUUUCCCCUUACGAAUUGUAGUUUAAAGAAGUGUUUUCUGUUGAGGUUUUGGUAAAAGUUCUUUGGAAUAGGACAUCAUAGAGGGUGAGAAUCCCGUAUUUGACCUUUACUUUCAACUUUGUGAUACACUUUCAAAGAGUCGGAUUGUUUGGGAAUGCAGUCCAAAAUGGGUGGUAAAUUUCAUCUAAAGCUAAAUAUUGGCGAGAGACCGAUAGCGAACAAGUACCGUGAGGGAAAGAUGAAAAGAACUUUGAAAAGAGAGUUAAACAGUACGUGAAAUUGUCAAAAGGGAAGCGUUUGACACCAGUGUUGUUUUUCUGAAAAUCAAUUAAAGAACUGUUUAUGCUAAGUUGUUUAGACUUUAUCAGCUAUCUGUUUAGUUUUGAGCUUUUCUUUAAUGCACUUUUCAGUUAACAAGUCAACAUCAAUUUCUUUUGCUGUAAAAAAGCUUGAGGAAGGUGGCUUGAGAUUCGUCUUAAGUGUUUAUAGCCUCUUGCCUAUGCAGUCGGAGAGAUUGAGGUCUGCAGCGUAGAUCCUUCGGGGCUAAAUGCAUUUGUGCUAAGUUAUAGCAUUUUAUAGACAACUUGUUGACUAUGAUUUGUCUUGUAGCUUACUCGCUUAUGUUAUUUUACCUACGCUUAGGAUGUUGACACACGCGCGUGCUCG
This 774-nucleotide ribosomal RNA is filed under the name uncultured Neocallimastigales. RNAcentral's name for it is "partial large subunit ribosomal RNA". It matches the Rfam family "Eukaryotic large subunit ribosomal RNA", at positions 26 to 643 of the family's 3401-position model. Lineage: Eukaryota; Fungi; Neocallimastigomycota; Neocallimastigomycetes; Neocallimastigales. The record is from RNAcentral.